Echinops telfairi (small Madagascar hedgehog) is the source of this 107-nucleotide small nuclear RNA. The record is from Ensembl. Lineage: Eukaryota; Metazoa; Chordata; Mammalia; Afrosoricida; Tenrecidae.
AUGCUUACUUUAGCAGCACAUAUAUAAAAAUUGGAAUGAUACGGCAAAAAUUAUCUUGGUCCCUGCACAAGAAUGACACAUGAAUUUGUGAAGCAUUCCAUAUAUAU